RNAcentral lists this ribosomal RNA (377 nucleotides) under uncultured eukaryote. RNAcentral describes it as "partial 18S ribosomal RNA". It matches the Rfam family "Eukaryotic small subunit ribosomal RNA", at positions 592 to 976 of the family's 1831-position model. The record is from RNAcentral.
CAAUAGCGUAUAUUAAAGUUGUUGCAGUUAAAAAGCUCGUAGUUGGAUUUCGGGGCAGCCUGGCUGGUCCGCCGCAAGGCGAGUACUGGUCAGCCGCCCUUCCUCUCGAAAGCCCCGACUGCUCUUUACUGUAGUGGUCGGGUAGUUCGGGACGUUUACUUUGAAAAAAUUAGAGUGUUCAAGGCAGGCCUACGCCUGAAUACAUUAGUAUGGAAUAAUGGAAGAGGACCUCGGUCCUAUUUUGUUGGUUUCCAGGGCCGAAGUAAUGAUUAAGAGGGACAGUUGGGGGCAUUCGUAUUUAAUUGUCAGAGGUGAAAUUCUCGGAUUUAUGAAAGACGAACAACUGCGAAAGCAUUUGCCAAGGAUGUUUUCAUUAA